RNAcentral lists this ribosomal RNA (253 nucleotides) under uncultured bacterium. Its description in RNAcentral is "partial 16S ribosomal RNA". It matches the Rfam family "Bacterial small subunit ribosomal RNA", at positions 524 to 776 of the family's 1533-position model. The record is from RNAcentral.
UACAGAGGUCCCAAGCGUUGUUCGGAUUCACUGGGCGUAAAGGGCGCGCAGGUGGUCGGGUAAGUCUGACGUGAAAUCCCGCAGCUUAACUGCGGAAUGGCAUUGGAUACUAUUCGGCUAGAGGGUUGGAGGGGGGACUGGAAUUCUCGGUGUAGCAGUGAAAUGCGUAGAUAUCGAGAGGAACACCAGUGGCGAAGGCGAGUCCCUGGACAACUCCUGACGCUGAGGCACGAAAGCGUGGGGAGCAAACAGG